This 626-nucleotide ribosomal RNA is filed under the name uncultured bacterium. RNAcentral's name for it is "bacterial SSU rRNA". It matches the Rfam family "Bacterial small subunit ribosomal RNA", at positions 216 to 842 of the family's 1533-position model. The record is from RNAcentral.
CGCUGAUAGAUAGGCAUGCGUUCCAUUAGGCAGUUGGCGGGGUAACGGCCCACCAAACCGACGAUGGAUAGGGGUUCUGAGAGGAAGGUCCCCCACAUUGGUACUGAGACACGGACCAAACUCCUACGGGAGGCAGCAGUGAGGAAUAUUGGUCAAUGGGCGUAAGCCUGAACCAGCCAAGUCGCGUGAGGGAUGAAGGUUCUAUGGAUCGUAAACCUCUUUUAUAAGGGAAUAAAGUGUGGGACGUGUCCUAUUUUGUAUGUACCUUAUGAAUAAGGAUCGGCUAACUCCGUGCCAGCAGCCGCGGUAAUACGGAGGAUCCGAGCGUUAUCCGGAUUUAUUGGGUUUAAAGGGUGCGUAGGCGGCCUUUUAAGUCAGCGGUGAAAGUCUGUGGCUCAACCAUAGAAUUGCCGUUGAAACUGGGAGGCUUGAGUAUGUUUGAGGCAGGCGGAAUGCGUGGUGUAGCGGUGAAAUGCUUAGAUAUCACGCAGAACCCCGAUUGCGAAGGCAGCCUGCCAAGCCAUGACUGACGCUGAUGCACGAAAGCGUGGGGAUCAAACAGGAUUAGAUACCCUGGUAGUCCACGCAGUAAACGAUGAUCACUAGCUGUUUGCGAUACAGUGUAA